GCGCACGCUGGCGGCCGGCUUAACACAUGCAAGUCGAGCGCCCCGCAAGGGGAGCGGCCGACGGGAGAGUAACACGUGGGAACAUACCUUUUGGUUCGGAACAACUGAGGGAAACUUCAGCUAAUACCGGAUAAGCCCUUACGGGGAAAGAUUUAUCGCCGAAAGAUUGGCCCGCGUCUGAUUAGCUAGUUGGUGAGGUAACGGCUCACCAAGGCGACGAUCAGUAGCUGGUCUGAGAGGAUGAUCAGCCUCACUGGGACUGAGACACGGCCCAGACUCCUACGGGAGGCAGCAGUGGGGAAUAUUGGACAAUGGGGGCAACCCUGAUCCAGCCAUGCCGCGUGAGUGAUGAAGGCCUUAGGGCUGUAAAGCUCUUUUGCCCGGGAAGAUAAUGACGGUACCGGGAGAAUAAGCCCCGGCUAACUUCGUG
Molecule: ribosomal RNA, 430 nt
Filed under: uncultured bacterium
Lineage: Bacteria
Description: partial 16S ribosomal RNA
Rfam family: Bacterial small subunit ribosomal RNA
Source: RNAcentral